GUUUUAAGGUGGGGAAGAUGUAUCUAUAACCUCCAGAAAUUUGUCAAGAUUCAACUAACUGUAAGUGUUGCUGCUUUUGUGAUCAAGUUCAUAGCAGCAGGUUCUGCUGGUGAGCUUCCUCUAACAGCACAUCAAUUGCUCUGGGUAGACCUCAUUGUGGACCCGCUCGUAGCUCUGGCACUGGCUGCAGAACGACCCACUGCUGAGCCAAUGCAGAGGCUGCCUGUAAGUCAGACAUAGCCCCUCAUAACAAAUAUUAUGU
This 262-nucleotide unclassified non-coding RNA is filed under the name Hevea brasiliensis (rubber tree). The record is from RNAcentral. Lineage: Eukaryota; Viridiplantae; Streptophyta; Magnoliopsida; Malpighiales; Euphorbiaceae.